Molecule: transfer RNA, 65 nt
Filed under: Nasua nasua (ring-tailed coati)
Lineage: Eukaryota; Metazoa; Chordata; Mammalia; Carnivora; Procyonidae
Description: tRNA-Pro
Source: RNAcentral
CAAGGAAUAGUUUAAUUAGAAUGUUAGCUUUGGGUGCUGAUGGUGGGGCUGUUGCUUCUUCCUUG